RNAcentral lists this ribosomal RNA (490 nucleotides) under uncultured bacterium. RNAcentral describes it as "partial 16S ribosomal RNA". It matches the Rfam family "Bacterial small subunit ribosomal RNA", at positions 30 to 507 of the family's 1533-position model. The record is from RNAcentral.
AUUGAACGCUGGCGGCAGGCCUAACACAUGCAAGUCGAACGGUAACAGGAAGCAGCCUGCUGCUUCGCUGACGAGUGGCGGACGGGUGAGUAAUGUCUGGGAAACUGCCUGAUGGAGGGGGAUAACUACUGGAAACGGUAGCUAAUACCGCAUAACGUCGCAAGACCAAAGAGGGGGACCUUAGGGCCUCUUGCCAUCGGAUGUGCCCAGAUGGGAUUAGCUAGUAGGUGGGGUAACGGCUCACCUAGGCGACGAUCCCUAGCUGGUCUGAGAGGAUGACCAGCCACACUGGAACUGAGACACGGUCCAGACUCCUACGGGAGGCAGCAGUGGGGAAUAUUGCACAAUGGGCGCAAGCCUGAUGCAGCCAUGCCGCGUGUAUGAAGAAGGCCUUCGGGUUGUAAAGUACUUUCAGCGGGGAGGAAGGGAGUAAAGUUAAUACCUUUGCUCAUUGACGUUACCCGCAGAAGAAGCACCGGCUAACUCCGUG